CCUACGGGUGGCAGCAGUGGGGGAUAUUGCACAAUGGGGGAAACCCUGAUGCAGCGACGCCGCGUGGGUGAAGGAGCGUUUCGGCACGUAAAGCCCUAUCAGCAGGGAAGAAAAUGACGGUACCUGACCAAGAAGCCCCGGCUAACUACGUGCCAGCAGCCGCGGUAAUACGUAGGGGGCAAGCGUUAUCCGGAUUUACUGGGUGUAAAGGGAGCGCAGACGGCAAUGCAAGCCAGGAGUGAAAGCCCAGGGACCAACCCCGGAACUGCUUUUGAAACUGUGUGGCUGGAGUACAGGAGGGGCAGGCGGAAUUCCUAGUGUAGCGGUGAAAUGCGUAGAUAUUAGGAGGAACACCAGUGGCGAAGGCGGCCUACUGGACUGUGACUGACGUUGAGGCUCGAAGGCGUGGGGAGCAAACAGGAUUAGAUACCCGAGUAGUC
RNAcentral lists this ribosomal RNA (440 nucleotides) under uncultured bacterium. Its description in RNAcentral is "partial 16S ribosomal RNA". It matches the Rfam family "Bacterial small subunit ribosomal RNA", at positions 338 to 795 of the family's 1533-position model. The record is from RNAcentral.